GGGGCCGAAAAAACAAAAAAGCCUCAAGAUCAAAUAAGGAGGGAAAGAUGAAAAAAGGCGGCGGCAAGGCGGCAAAUUCUCGAACACUUCUCUUUCUCUAUCAUCUCUCUCAAACUCAAAACCAUCUAAAUUCUCACUUCUAGUCCUUCCUCGGCUUGUCUUUUCGUCGUUCUACAAAUUUGAAAUGGUUGCUUAACUUUUUGCAGAUCCUUCUCAACUGUGUCAUUUUAGGGAUGAAAUUCUCAUAAUAAGGAGUUUCAUUUUGCUUGCUGAGGUUAUACUUCAUACCUCUCUUUGCCACAUCAAAUUCUGCGCCACUUUGGCAGUGUGACCUGUCCAGUAAGAGCCCUGCAGAGCUGCAUUCCGCAUGGUGUCUAUUAAUCCCCUUCGAUGCUGCACUCAUGGACGCAGCUGAGGCCGCAUUUGCAAGAGCCAAAAGAUCUGCGAAAGGAACAU
Theobroma umbraticum is the source of this 456-nucleotide long non-coding RNA. RefSeq lists it as uncharacterized. NCBI's taxonomy places the organism in Eukaryota, Viridiplantae, Streptophyta, Magnoliopsida, Malvales, Malvaceae. The record is from RefSeq and is a predicted model, not a curated record.